Molecule: long non-coding RNA, 333 nt
Organism: Dicentrarchus labrax (European seabass)
Lineage: Eukaryota; Metazoa; Chordata; Actinopteri; Moronidae
Exons: 3
Source: RefSeq, a predicted model, not a curated record
GCAGUAUAGAUACAGUGUAGGAGGUGCAGGAGGAGGUGCAGUAUAGAUACAGUGUAGGAGGUGCAGUAUAGAUACAGUGUAGGAGGUGCAGUAUAGAUACAGUGUAGAGGAGGUGCAGUAUAGAUACAGUGUAGGAGGUGCAGUAUAGAUACAGUAUAGAGGAGGUGCAGUAUAGAUACAGUGUAGGAGGUGCAGUAUAGAUACAGUGUAGGAGGUGCAGUAUAGAUACAGUAUAGAGGAGGUGCAGUAUAGAUACAGUGUAGAGGAGGUGCAGUAUAGAUACAGUAUAGAGGAGGUGCAGUAUAGAGUGUAGGAGGAGCAGGAGGAGGUGCA